Stegodyphus dumicola is the source of this 291-nucleotide long non-coding RNA. RefSeq lists it as uncharacterized. Lineage: Eukaryota; Metazoa; Arthropoda; Arachnida; Araneae; Eresidae. The record is from RefSeq and is a predicted model, not a curated record.
UUACAUGAUAGUUCAAAAUUAUCAGAUUUUUAUAACUGCAAGAAGUUCCCGAAGAUGCUGUUAAUGUCCAAAAAGGGUAAAGGCAAAGCAAGUAUUUUAGCAUAAGGUUGUUAUUUGAAAAAAAAAAAAAAAAAAAAAAUCCAAAUUCUGCACUUUUAAUAUUUGCUAAAUGGAAUAGAAGACAUGGAAUCUCUUGGACCAGCUCAGAAUAAACAGCCCAUUAUAGUGUGUAUUACAAGUUCAUUCUAUAUUAAAGCAGUAAAUCACUUAAACAUGCCCAAAUCAUGCCAU